GCAUGCUCCAAACAGUAUUUUUUUUCCUAGCAUUCACUACUUUCUACAGCCAUACUUUCCAUCUCAUAAGGAAUCACUAAACACUCCUUACUUGAGUAAAAACCAACAAUCAAUGUUGCACAUGGCAUUCCAGAUGACAAGUCAUCAGUUUUCUAAUGACAACUGAAGUGUUUGGAGGCCACCAAGCUUUCCCAAACAGAGAUGGCAUUGGAGCUGGGAGAGGAUCCUUUAUAAAUGCAGCUGGGGAGAGCAGAGGAGAUUCCUUACCACCCUCACUCCACUAAGAAAGCGAGAAGAACCUUUCCUUUGGAACCUAGUAAUGUGCAGAAGGCAGCAACAAUCCACAGAGAUGAAGAACAAGACCUGAUGCCUUUCAAAUGCCCAUCACUUCUUACACUUAAACACUUUUCCUGUAACUCUCCAUGCUCCAUAUUAUCAUUUAGGAGAGCUGAUUAACUUUCAGUCUGUUUUUUUCCCCCACUCUAAGUACUUGCCCAGAAAGCAUUUCCUGGGUAAUCAAAAUCAUUCAGGCUGCUA
Long non-coding RNA from Passer domesticus (house sparrow), 537 nucleotides. RefSeq lists it as uncharacterized. The transcript is spliced from 3 exons. The record is from RefSeq and is a predicted model, not a curated record. NCBI's taxonomy places the organism in Eukaryota, Metazoa, Chordata, Aves, Passeriformes, Passeridae.